This 506-nucleotide ribosomal RNA is filed under the name uncultured Glomus. RNAcentral's name for it is "SSU rRNA". It matches the Rfam family "Eukaryotic small subunit ribosomal RNA", at positions 594 to 1102 of the family's 1831-position model. The record is from RNAcentral. Lineage: Eukaryota; Fungi; Glomeromycota; Glomeromycetes; Glomerales; Glomeraceae.
ACAGCGUAUAUUAAAGUUGUUGCAGUUAAAAAGCUCGUAGUUGAAUUUCGGGAUCAAAUUGUCGGUCGUGCCUUGGUACGCACUGGCAUUAUUGGUCCCUACCUUCUGAAGAACCGCGAUGUCAUUAAUUUGGUGUCGUGGGGAAUCAGGACUGUUACUUUGAAAAAAUUAGAGUGUUUAAAGCAGGCGCACGCUUGAAUACAUUAGCAUGGAAUAAUGAAAUAGGACGUUUGAUUCUAUUUUGUUGGUUUCUAGGAUCGACGUAAUGAUUAAUAGGGAUAGUUGGGGGCAUUAGUAUUCAAUUGUCAGAGGUGAAAUUCUUGGAUUUAUUGAAGACUAACUACUGCGAAAGCAUUUGCCAAGGAUGUUUUCAUUAAUCAAGAACGAAAGUUAGGGGAUCGAAGACGAUCAGAUACCGUCGUAGUCUUAACCAUAAACUAUGCCGACUAGGGAUCGGAUGAUGUUAAUUUUUUAAUGACUCAUUCGGCGCCUUACGGGAAACAAAA